This 253-nucleotide ribosomal RNA is filed under the name uncultured bacterium. RNAcentral describes it as "partial 16S ribosomal RNA". It matches the Rfam family "Bacterial small subunit ribosomal RNA", at positions 524 to 776 of the family's 1533-position model. The record is from RNAcentral.
UACAGAGGGUGCGAGCGUUGUCCGGAAUCACUGGGCGUAAAGGGCGCGUAGGUGGCGCGACAAGUCAGUGGUGAAAGUUCGACGCUCAACGUCGAAUCGGCCACUGAUACUGUUGGGCUUGAGCACUGUAGAGGCUAAUGGAAUUCCGGGUGUAGCGGUGGAAUGCGCAGAUAUCAGGAGGAACACCGGUGGCGAAGGCGGGUCUCUGGGUAGUAACUGACGCUGAGGAACGAAAGCGUGGGUAGCGAACAGG